This 76-nucleotide transfer RNA is filed under the name mine drainage metagenome. Its description in RNAcentral is "tRNA-Thr". It matches the Rfam family "tRNA". From Rfam's summary of the family: Transfer RNA (tRNA) molecules are approximately 80 nucleotides in length. Their secondary structure includes four short double-helical elements and three loops (D, anti-codon, and T loops). Further hydrogen bonds mediate the characteristic L-shaped molecular structure. tRNAs have two regions of fundamental functional importance: the anti-codon, which is responsible for specific mRNA codon recognition, and the 3' end, to which the tRNAs corresponding amino acid is attached (by aminoacyl-tRNA synthetases). tRNAs cope with the degeneracy of the genetic code in two manners: having more than one tRNA (with a specific anti-codon) for a particular amino acid; and 'wobble' base-pairing, i.e. permitting non-standard base-pairing at the 3rd anti-codon position. The record is from RNAcentral.
GCUCCUGUAGCUCAAUUGGCAGAGCACCCGCCUUGUAAGCGGAAGGUUCCCGGUUCGAUUCCGGGCAGGAGCUCCA